UGCGAAGACGAGGAAUAGAAAUGGGGGGU
RNAcentral lists this non-coding RNA (29 nucleotides) under Homo sapiens (human). The record is from RNAcentral. Lineage: Eukaryota; Metazoa; Chordata; Mammalia; Primates; Hominidae.